This is a long non-coding RNA of Drosophila takahashii, 600 nucleotides long. RefSeq lists it as uncharacterized. Lineage: Eukaryota; Metazoa; Arthropoda; Insecta; Diptera; Drosophilidae. The record is from RefSeq and is a predicted model, not a curated record.
GCCGUCGUUCCGCGUUUUUCAAUUGCGUUCUAACUGUGAUAAGUUGUUUUCGAGUUCAAACAAAAGUGCUAUUAAUCAAGAAUGAAUUUUUAGGUCAAGCUGAUGGUACAAGGUGCAUAAACAAUAUAAUUUCAGAUGAGAUCAUUUUGUCCUACAGCCCAUAAGGAUGUUAUUCUUGCGUUUCUAAAUCCCAUUGGUCAGGUGAAGCCUGCAGAGCCUCCGGAGAUGUGUGAAAAAUAUCCAUGCGCGAAAACGGACCUCACCAAGAUUCCGGAAGCCAUGACAAACGUACCGAAGACCCUACAAGUCACUGUAGUUGGUAAAAAUCUAUUAAUUUAAUGUAAAAGUAUGAAAAAAAUUUACCAAAAGUGAUGUUGUAAAAUGAAGUGAAAAGAAAAAAACUUUUGAUAAAGGCGAUGAAAUUCAACAUGUUCAGAUUGACGAUCUGGCCACACACACAAUAGCGGCAGAGAAUUUGGGCAAAAGGGAGCUAUCGAUACUUCUAGAGAGAGAGGGAAAGGGCAGUUGGAGUUCGGAACUGCCCCGCGACGCUAACGAAGCUGCGCUAUUCUGGUUGAUUGCUUGUUAUAUAUAACACAC